Molecule: non-coding RNA, 31 nt
Filed under: Rattus norvegicus (Norway rat)
Lineage: Eukaryota; Metazoa; Chordata; Mammalia; Rodentia; Muridae
Source: RNAcentral
UGUCUGGUUUGGACACAGAAGUAUGGCACCC